This 706-nucleotide ribosomal RNA is filed under the name uncultured bacterium. RNAcentral describes it as "bacterial SSU rRNA". It matches the Rfam family "Bacterial small subunit ribosomal RNA", at positions 56 to 757 of the family's 1533-position model. The record is from RNAcentral.
UGCAAGUCGAGCGGUAGAGAGAAGCUUGCUUCUCUUGAGAGCGGCGGACGGGUGAGUAAUGCCUAGGAAUCUGCCUAGUGGUGGGGGAUAACGUUCGGAAACGGACGCUAAUACCGCAUACGUCCUACGGGAGAAAGCGGGGGAUCUUCGGACCUCGCGCCAUUAGAUGAGCCUAGGUCGGAUUAGCUAGUUGGUGAGGUAAUGGCUCACCAAGGCGACGAUCCGUAACUGGUCUGAGAGGAUGAUCAGUCACACUGGAACUGAGACACGGUCCAGACUCCUACGGGAGGCAGCAGUGGGGAAUAUUGGACAAUGGGCGAAAGCCUGAUCCAGCCAUGCCGCGUGUGUGAAGAAGGUCUUCGGAUUGUAAAGCACUUUAAGUUGGGAGGAAGGGCAGUAACCUAAUACGUUAUUGUUUUGACGUUACCGACAGAAUAAGCACCGGCUAACUUCGUGCCAGCAGCCGCGGUAAUACGAAGGGUGCAAGCGUUAAUCGGAAUUACUGGGCGUAAAGCGCGCGUAGGUGGUUCAGUAAGUUGGAAGUGAAAUCCCCGGGCUCAACCUGGGAACUGCUUUCAAAACUGCUGAGCUAGAGUACGGUAGAGGGUGGUGGAAUUUCCUGUGUAGCGGUGAAAUGCGUAGAUAUAGGAAGGAACACCAGUGGCGAAGGCGACCACCUGGACUGAUACUGACACUGAGGUGCGAA